CCUCAAAUAACCCCGGAUGGAGAUGACCUCAAGUAACCCCAUCUCGAAAUGACCUCGAAUAACCCCAAAUGGAAGUGACCUUAAAUAACCCCAAUAGGUCCCGGAAGUCCUCCCUGAUGGAACCGGAAGUGCCCCCCCGGAAAUCCCCUUGACGAAACCGGAAGUGUACCCGGAAGUCCCCCUUGAUGUAACCGGAAGUGCCCCUAAAAGUCCCUUUAGAGCUAAUGGCUGCCCCAUAACCGGAAGUUGCCUUGAUAUAACCGGAAGUAACCCCGGAAGUCUCCAUGCCGGAACCGGAAGUAGCCCGGAAGUGCCCCCAAAGGUCCCUUUAGAGCUUCCGGUUGCCCCAUAGAAGGUCCUGGCAGCCCCAUAGAGGGUCCCAUCAGCCCCAUAGAGGGUCCCAUGGGCCCCAUAGAAGGACCUGGCUGCCCCAUAGAGGGUCCCAUGGGCCCCAUAGGACCCAGCAGCCCCAUAGAUGGACCUGGCAGCCCCAUAGGACACAUCAACCCCAUAGAAAGUCCUGGCAGCCCCACAGAGUGUCCCAUGGGCCCCAGAUGGACCUGGCAGCCCCACAGAGGAAUCAGGCUGCCCCAUAGGUCCUGGCAGCCCCAUAGAGGGUCCCAUAGCCCCAUAGAAGGUCCUGGCAGCCCCAUAGGACCCAGCUGCCCCAUAGAAGGUCCUGGCAGCCCCAUAGAAGGACACAUCAACCCCACAGAGGGACCCGGCUGCCCCAUAGAAGGACCUGGCUGCCCCAUAGAUGGACCUGGCAGCCCCAUAGAAGGUCCUGGCUGCCCCAUUGGACCCAUCAGCCCCAUAGAUGGAUCUGGCAGCCCCAUAGAGGAUCCUGGCUGCCCCAUAGAAGGACCCAGCUGCCCCAUAGAGGGUCCCAUCAGCCCCAUAGAAGGUCGUGGCAACCCCAUAGAUGGACCUGGCAGCCCCAUAGAGGGUCCCAUCAGCCCCACAGAAGGUCCUGGCAGCCCCAUAGAUGGACCUGGCAGCCCCAUAGAAGGACACAUCAACCCCACAGAGGGACCCGGCUGCCCCAUAGAAGGACCUGGCAGCCCCAUAGAAGGUCCUGGCUGCCCCAUUGGACCCAUCAGCCCCAUAGAAGGUCACAUCAGCCCCAUGGAAGGACCUGGCAGCCCCAUAGAAGGACUUGGCUGCCCCAUUGGACCCAUCAGCCCCACAGAGGGUCCUGGCAGCCCCAUAGGACCCGGCUGCCCCAUAGAAGGUCCUGGCAGCCCCAUAGAAGGACCUGGCUGCCCCGUAGAUGGACCUGGCAGCCCCAUAGAGGGUCCCAUCAGCCCCAUAAGUGCCCCCCAACCGGAAGUAGCCCGGAAGUGCCCCCAAAGGUCCCUUUAGAGCUUCCAGCUGCCCCAUAGAUGGACCUGGCAGCCCCAUAGAGGGUCCCAUCAGCCCCAUAGAAGGUCACAUCAGCUCAUAGAAGGUCCUGGCAGCCCCAUAGAUGGACCCAGCUGCCCCAUAGAGGGUCCUGGCAGCCCCAUAGAGGGUCCCAUCAGCCCCAUAGAAAGUCCUGGCAGCCCCAUAGAGGGUCCCAUAGCCCCAUAGAGGGUCCUGGCUGCCCCAUAGAGGGUCCUGGCAGCCCCAUAGAUGGACCUGGCAGCCCUAUAGAAGGUCCUGGCUGCCCCAUAGGACCCGGCUGCCCCAUAGAGGGUCCCAUAGGCCCCAUAGAAGGUCCUGGCAGCCCAAUUGAAGGACCUGGCUGCCCCAUAGGACCCGGUUGCCCCAUAGAGGGUCCCAUAGGCCCCAUAGAAGGUCCUGGCAGCCCCAUAGAGGGUCCCAUAGCCCCAUAGAGGGUCCUGGCAGCCCCAUAGAAGGUCCUGGCAGCCCCAUAGAUGGACACAUCAACCCCAUAGAAGGUCCUGGCAGCCCCAUAGAAGGUCCUGGCAGCCCCAUAGAGGGUCCCAUAGCCCCAUAGAAUGACUUGGCAGCCCCACAGAAGGUCCUGGCAGCCCCAUAGAGUGUCCCAUGGGCCCCAGAUGGACCUGGCAGCCCCACAGAGGAAUCAGGCUGCCCCAUAGAAGGACCUGGCUGCCCCAUAGAUGGUCCUGGCUGCCACAUAGAAGGUCCUGGCAGCCCCAUAGAGGGUGCCAUAGCCCCAUAGAGGGUCCUGGCUGCCCCAUAGAAGGUCCUGGCAGCCCCAUAGAGGGUCCCAUAGCCCCAUAAGUGCCCCAUAGCCCCCCAUUAGGCGCAGUGUGCCCGUGCCCGCGCCAGCAGCUCGCUGAAGCUCUGGAAGAGCCGCUCCAACCAGUCGUGGUUCCUCAUGCAGCGCUGAACUACUUCCUCCUGCCCCACAUCCGCCAGCCCACCCUCAAUGGCCGU
RNAcentral lists this long non-coding RNA (2343 nucleotides) under Coturnix japonica (Japanese quail). RNAcentral describes it as "lncRNA (ENSCJPG00005000586.1)". The record is from RNAcentral. Lineage: Eukaryota; Metazoa; Chordata; Aves; Galliformes; Phasianidae.